RNAcentral lists this ribosomal RNA (491 nucleotides) under uncultured bacterium. RNAcentral describes it as "partial 16S ribosomal RNA". It matches the Rfam family "Bacterial small subunit ribosomal RNA", at positions 29 to 506 of the family's 1533-position model. The record is from RNAcentral.
AGUGAACGCUGGCGGUAGGCCUAACGCAUGCAAGUCGAACGGCAGCACAGCAAGAGCUUGCUCUUACGGGUGGCGAGUGGCGGACGGGUGAGGAAUACAUCGGAAUCUACUUUUUCGUGGGGGAUAACGUAGGGAAACUUACGCUAAUACCGCAUACGACCUACGGGUGAAAGCAGGGGAUCUUCGGACCUUGCGCGAUUGAAUGAGCCGAUGUCGGAUUAGCUAGUUGGCGGGGUAAAGGCCCACCAAGGCGACGAUCCGUAGCUGGUCUGAGAGGAUGAUCAGCCACACUGGAACUGAGACACGGUCCAGACUCCUACGGGAGGCAGCAGUGGGGAAUAUUGGACAAUGGGCGCAAGCCUGAUCCAGCCAUACCGCGUGGGUGAAGAAGGCCUUCGGGUUGUAAAGCCCUUUUGUUGGGAAAGAAAAGCAGCAGGUUAAUACCCCGCUGUUCUGACGGUACCCAAAGAAUAAACACCGGCUAACUUCGU